GCCCAUGCCUUGCAAGACCUCGACGCCGACAUCACCGAGGAGGAGGUUUGGGAGGCUAUAAAAGAGAUGCCUAGUAACAAGGCGCCGGGACCUGAUGGUUUCACGGGGAUCUUCUUCAAGAAGUGUUGGGGAAUCAUCAAGCAUACGAUCAUGGGGGUCAUUCAACGCUUCGAUUGCUUACACACCUCCAACCUGCAAUGGCUAAACUCUGCCAAUGUUGUUCUGCUGCCUAAGAAGGACGGCGCGGAAGGCAUCUCUGAUUAUAGGCCCAUUAGCCUCAUACAUGCCAUCGCUAAAAUCAUUGCCAAGGUUCUAUCGCUACGCCUUGCGCCCCACAUGGAUGACCUCGUGUCCAACGCCCAGAGUGCUUUCAUUAAAAGGAGAAGUAUCCACGACAACUUCAUGUAUGUUCGCAACUUUGCCCGGCGUCUACACAAAUGCAAGACCCCCGCACUCCUUUUCAAGCUUGAUAUAAAAAAGGCUUUCGACUCAGUCAAGUGGGGAUACAUUCUUGAGCUGCUCCAACGGUUGGGCUUCCCUCCAAAAUUUCAAGCUUGGAUUGCUGCGCUUCUAUCCUCUUCUUCAUCUCGGAUAAUGCUAAACGGGCUACCCGGCCCUCCUGUCAAGCAUGGCCGCGAAUUCAGGCAGGGGGACCCCAUCUCUCCACUCCUCUUCGUCUUGGCAAUUGACCCCUUGCAUAAGAUCCUAGACUUGGCGACGCGAAAAGGGCUCCUUCAUAAGAUCCGUGGUCGGGGUGCCAUGGUGCGCACCUCCCUCUAUGCGGAUGAUGCGGCGGUCUUUGUGGCCCCCAUCAAGCGGGACAUCGACAAUCUUGCCUCUAUCCUCAGA
RNAcentral lists this ribosomal RNA (849 nucleotides) under Triticum aestivum (bread wheat). RNAcentral describes it as "partial small subunit ribosomal RNA". The record is from RNAcentral. Lineage: Eukaryota; Viridiplantae; Streptophyta; Magnoliopsida; Poales; Poaceae.